AUCUUUAAUUGCCAGCAUUCAGUUGGGCACUUUAAAGAGACUGCCGGUGUUAAACCGGAGGAAGUGGGGAUGACGUCAAGUCCUCAUGGCCUUUAUGCUUAGGGCUACACACGUGCUACAAUGGGUGGUACAAAGAGAAGCCAACUCGCGAGAGCGCGCCAAUCUCAAAAAGCCAUCCUCAGUUCGGAUUGGAGUCUGCAACUCGACUCCAUGAAGGUUGGAAUCGCUAGUAAUCGCGGAUCAGCAUGCCGCGGUGAAUACGUUCCCGGGCCUU
This 274-nucleotide ribosomal RNA is filed under the name uncultured Smithella sp. Its description in RNAcentral is "partial 16S ribosomal RNA". It matches the Rfam family "Bacterial small subunit ribosomal RNA", at positions 1107 to 1382 of the family's 1533-position model. Lineage: Bacteria; Pseudomonadati; Thermodesulfobacteriota; Syntrophia; Syntrophales; Smithellaceae. The record is from RNAcentral.